CUAUCCACGUGCCCCCCCUUGUUAUCCUCGUGCUCCCGGCCUUGUAGCGGUGCCGUGGCGGGGCGUGUAGGCGUUGACAUGUAAGCCCCGGUCGUCUACCCUCCGUGCCCUAUGGGGGUCCGUGGACGGGGCAGCACUCACGGUCAUCGGCACUGCCCAUACACUCAGUCCAGCCUGGCGGGGACCUCACCAAUGACCUCCAUGAAAACAGGGUCCCAGACAAGCCAGUUGGUCUGAAGGCCGUGGCGCUGACUGACCACAUCAGGGUGUGCUGGCAGCCCCCCGCACAGCACAAUGUGCUGCUGUGCGGCUACACCAUUGCCUGGGACCAAGGCGUGGCGGACAUCUACUCCAAGAUCGUGGACAGCAAGCAGCACGGUUACAUCAUUGAUAAGCUGGAACCCAACAUGGAGUUUGUGAUAAGCCUGCGAGCCUUCAACAACGUGGGUGACGGGCAACCGGUGUACCAGCAAGUCCGCACCCAGCCAGAGGAGGAGGAGGUGGUGGCACCCACGCUGGACCCGGCGGUGUGGGUGAAGGCCGUGGUGCUGACGCCCUUCACCGUGGUGCUGCAGUGGGCAGACACCAUGCUGAGCCAGAACCAGAUGAUUUAUUUAUUUAUUUAUUUAUUAUUAUUAUUAUUUUUUUUUUUUCAAGGGAGGCAACUCAAGGUAAACAAAUUGAACAACAAUUAAAAGGCCACUAGAUGCCGUUCCAAACACAAGCAUGAAGAAUGGGAGGUCAAAAGAGGUCAGUUUUGGGUAGUGUUGCUGGGCUGCUUCAGGGAGGGCAGUCGUCAGCUGGAAAAUAUAUGUUUUAUCUCAUGUUCUUUGUGCACUGUGUCACAGACUUGCCACUUGCAUCAACACAGCAGCGGAAAAGUUAGUCAUUCAUCAAGGAACUUAUUCACCACCUACACAUUCUUGUUUCCCUGCACACACUCCCUUAUUCACCUCAUAUCCACCUCUCCACAUCCUUAUUCGUAACUUGCAUCCUUCUCCCUCCUACAAACAGCCCCUCAUUCACCUCAUAUCUUCCUCUCUAUAUCCUUAUCCAUUACUUACUCAUACUCUCAUCCCAGCAAACUCCCUUAUUCACCUCACGUCCACCUCACACAUCCUUAUUCAUAACUCAUGCAUCCUCUUUUUCCUGCAAACAGUCCCUUAUACACCUCAUAUCCUCCCUCAUACAUCCUUAUCCUUCACUUACACAUCCUCUUUUUCCUGCAAGCACUCCCUCACACCCUUCCUAUCCUCCUGUCAUUCAUGUCUCAUUUCACAAGCCAGUCCUUCAUCCAGUGACCUUUCUCAUGUUUUCCCUCCAUCCUUGUACCUGACUCCCUGUUAAUACUGACCUUUGACUCCUGCAGUACAACAGCUGCACCACCUUCUCGUCCUCAUCCUCCAGCCGCUACGUCAACGCCACGGAUGUGACCUGCCUCAUUGACAGCCUCAAGCCAUCAACAGUGUGUGAGUUUGCUGUGAAGACCAUCAGGGUGAGGCCACAGUGCUGGAAGCCUUCGUUCUUCUUUCAGUAAAUAUUCACUCAGUCCUGCAACACUUCUCAAGGAAAUCCUGCACAGCUGAAUCCUUGCUGUGAUGAGGCACAGAGAAAUUAUGACUCAUAGGGUUUGGCGUGAGUCCCCCUAUAGCCUGGUGGCCUCCAACAACCUGCUGGUGGCCUGGCCGUCCUGGCCCUCCCUGGCCAGCCGUCCACCACCACCUUCACCCGGCAGCCGCUGCAGCGGAACAAUGGGAGGAUCACAGGCUACGUGAUAUUCCUCACCAUGGACCAAACUGUCGGUGACUGGGUGAUGGGGGAAGUGACGGGGGACUGGCUCACCCUCACCGUCCAUGGACUGACGCCUUCAAGGAAGUAUUUGCACAAGAUGCACUCUCACAAUGUCAAAGGUUUUGGUCCAUUCUCCUCCGUGGAAAGCUUCACGACUCUUCCAGCUGUUGACAAGAGCAUCGGUGAGCCCCCUGGCUGGUGUGUGGAGCGAGAGGCCUGAUUGUGCUGGUGAUCGCUGGCGUGGCAGGAGCCAUGACCAGCUGGGGGCCUUCUUGGCCACCACACUGUACUGCCGCGGGUCAAGGCGGAGCCCAGGCCAAGCAUUGUUGUUGGCGGCAGCUGCAGUGAGAGCAACAAGCCUGGCGUCCAGCCUCCAGACCUGUGGAUCCAUCACGGCCACUUGGAGCUGAAGAACUUUGACAAGGGUGAGCGCAGCAACUCCCCCAACCACGCCUCCAUCAUCCAGCACACAGGAGUCGCGUCACAUCACAAUGGGACCGAAAAAGGACGAGAAGGGACAAGACAAGAAGAAAAGGUCUUCUGCUGCCGCUGCUGCCUCUCCUGAUGAUGAUGAGCAACAAGAAGACACUCAAGAACAACCUGCCAAGAAAGUGAAGGGACGAUCCAAGAAGAGGUCAUUGUCUGCUACCGGGGAGACACCCCCUCCUCCAGCCCUCUUGCGUCACCAAUCCACUUGGACACAGGAGCCCCAACCUGGUCAUGAUGAUGCUGGGGUGUGUCUUUUGUUCAAAAUCGGGAGCAAAUUCUUGGAGGAGAUUUGAAACUCGUAGUAGAUCCGGAGUUAUCGGUGUAGUUCGUCGUACAUUGUAGUACUUCGUACUUACAAAUCGGGACAGUUGGUGUGGUUCGUGAUACUUCGUAGUACUUCUGCUCCAAAACUCGGCGUACUUCGGGAGAAAAUCAGGGUGAAAUCGUAGCACAUCGUAGUACGUCGUAGCACUUCGGGAAAUAAUUCGGUGUACUUCGGGGAAUAUGCCCUCGAGGUCGACCGAACGCCUCGAGAUGAAAAGAUAAACAAAUUUUCGUAGUGAUUUGGGGAAAACGCUGUCUCCCGAGGUACUACGAUUUUUUUGUGAUUCGGCGGUAGUUUGGUCGCUGCUCUCUGUAUUCUUUCCAACUUUCUAAUUUCUUUCUUCAAUGUAGGUGACCACACUAACGCUGCAUAUUCCAGUCUUGGACGUAUCAUCGAUGUUAUUAGUUUCUUCACCAUUUCUUCGUCUAGAUAUGUAAAUACUGCUUUUAUGUUUCUAAGAAGAUUGUAUGUUUCCCCAGUUAUCCGAUUUAUAUGCUUUCCAAAGGAUAACUUGUCUGUUAUUGUCACUCCCAGAUCCUUUUUCUUCUGUUUUUUUAUGAUUCUUUCGUUACUCAGAGAGUAGUUCCCCGAUAUUCGUCUGCUGCUCUUACCAAACUCCAUCACACUACACUUCUCUGUAUUGAAUGUCAUUUCCCAUUUGCGUGACCAUUCGCUUAUUCUAUCGAAAUCCUGACUCAAG
Long non-coding RNA from Eriocheir sinensis (Chinese mitten crab), 3305 nucleotides. RefSeq lists it as uncharacterized. Lineage: Eukaryota; Metazoa; Arthropoda; Malacostraca; Decapoda; Varunidae. The transcript is spliced from 9 exons. The record is from RefSeq and is a predicted model, not a curated record.